Long non-coding RNA from Piliocolobus tephrosceles (Ugandan red Colobus), 585 nucleotides. RefSeq lists it as uncharacterized. Lineage: Eukaryota; Metazoa; Chordata; Mammalia; Primates; Cercopithecidae. The transcript has 3 exons. The record is from RefSeq and is a predicted model, not a curated record.
GGUACAUCUUGCGAUCCGGAGGCAAUGCUGGAGCGGGCAGUUGUCUGCAGGGAGGCCCUGGCUCACUCUGGGCCAAAUAACAGGACUGAUUGCAGCCAGGGAUGAAACUUCCUGUUUCUCCCAACCAGAAACAGACAGAGGAGCUGCUUUAGGAUGAAAGAUGAGGCUUGCUUUUUCUUUCUCCUAGAAGUCAGCAUUUUACAUGAUUCUGGGAGGGAAGAAAGGAGACAGGAACCAAGGAGCCUGAGUGGGGAUGUGCCUACCGCUGGGCAGCGAGUAUCCUGUAAGGAAGGCUUUUCAGAGGGAGUGUUGGAAGGAGCCCUAAGGGAAUCUUCCUCACCCAGGAAGUCUUCCUCACUGGGUGAGCCCCAACCUGCUGGACCUGAACAGAAUUCGCCCAACAGGGGAUCCUGAUUGACUGAGGUCUGCUAAUUCCAAUUCAUCUAUGCCAAAUGCUCCCAGAAUGUCUUCAUCAUCACUGAAUCCCUUUCCACUGACACAAUGCCUGGAAGAACAUAAACACUGGGAGGAUAAAUAUCAAUGAAAUACUAAUAAAAUAAACUUUCUUUGGUCUCCAGAGGGAAA